Molecule: unclassified non-coding RNA, 222 nt
Filed under: fungal sp.
Lineage: Eukaryota; Fungi
Description: partial internal transcribed spacer region
Rfam family: Eukaryotic small subunit ribosomal RNA (bases 1-46)
Source: RNAcentral
AAGUCGUAACAAGGUUUCCGUAGGUGAACCUGCGGAAGGAUCAUUAAUGAAAUUGCAAGGAUGCUCUCUUUAGAGGUCCGACCCAUUCUCAUUUCCUUACCCUGUGCACACACUAUUUUUAUUUACACCCACUUUAAACACCAUCAGUAUUAAGAAUGUCAUCAGUCUCUUAAUUGAGCAUAAAAUACAAUAAAACUUUCGGCAACGGAUCUCUUGGCUCCC